RNAcentral lists this non-coding RNA (21 nucleotides) under Rattus norvegicus (Norway rat). The record is from RNAcentral. Lineage: Eukaryota; Metazoa; Chordata; Mammalia; Rodentia; Muridae.
AGGAACAAUAUACUUUGCAGG